AAAGAUCACCCACACGACUUUGCUUCUUCUUCUCCAAAAGCACCCGAAUCGAGCCCUAAUAAUGUCCAAAUUCGAGUGAUUGAACCUCAAAUCUCUCCUCAUGCAUUCUCCUUUCUCUCCUCUUACCACAGAUAACCAUUUCUGACACUGAAGAUUCUCAUUCCCUUCACUCGCUCAAUUUGGAGAUAAGGCACGCGAUUGGAAGCUUCUGGAAUGAUUUGCUGGAUGAGUGUGAGGCGUUGGAUUGAUUUCACUCAAUCCAAGCCCCACAUUCAUCAGGAAUUCGUUCUCAAAAGGGAUUUUGGAUGGAUUUCAGAGAGGUCAAUGUUCAGAGGGAUUUUUGGAGAGAGGAUUGUUCAAAGAGGUUAGAAAUUCAUUUUCUAAAGGAGAUCGAUCUGAUUUUGGAAGCGAACUCGGGGGAAAAAUUGGAAGAAAGAGUUGGAAAAGGUUCUAAAAGUUCUCCUUCUUCUCUACUGUUCAGUUUAGCUUAAUUUCAGUUACUAUAAAAAAAAGAUAUUUGAUUUUCGUUUUGGGGUUAAUUGGAGUCUCUUUGUUCCCUAUAAUUGGAAAUUGGACAAUUUUCACCCUUCACAUGGUGAAUAUGGUUUGAACCUGAAGUGUGAGUUUGUUGUUCUGAAUUUUAUUUUGAGUUAAUGGAAGUUGACUAAGUGCUGAUGGUCUUGAGUUGCUCUAAAACUGUUCGCUUAGCUGCUGAAUCUCGAGUUCAUUGCGAUCUCUGUUUGGACUCGCUUCCUCUGAUAAUCGUUGUAACCCUUCAAUUGCAUUAAUCAAAGUUUAUUUGCAGGUGCAUUUCCAAACUCUCUCGUUUUGCUAUAUCAUGUGAGCUGAAAUGUUUGUUUGUUUGAAUCGAUUUAAAACUGAGAAGUAAUACAUCACUGAACAAAUUUAGGAUGUUGGGAUGAGCCUUGAGCUAGUAUUCUGAUUUUUUCUAUCCAUUUCUUAAUGGUUAGAGUCUGAGAUUGUCCUAACUUAUCCGUCACUAAAAAUUCAUUUGUGGUUCUUUGAUGUUGGUUUGGAAAUUGGCUCAUGUUCAUGUUUGAAUCCCUGUGGGUUAGGUUCAUGUAUCGAUUCCCAAACUCCUGUUAAUGGUUAGUAUCUGUUGUUAAAGUUCUUUGGAAAUUCGAUGUUGUAGUUGAAUGGAAAUGUGUUCUUGUUGCUGGAUUGAUCUAGGUGAAGCUAAGUCACAAUUUGUCUGAUUGCUCAAAUCUAUUGGUAUUUCGAUCUUCUCUGUCAUGAUCUUUCACUGAUUAAUACUAGUUUUUGUUAUUAUUUCUCAAACAGCCAUGUAUCUCUUUCCAGUUGUGCAAUCGAGUUUAAGUGUCAAAACAUUUCUGGAAUUGUUUUUUUAGCAUUCAUUGACUGUAUAUGUUCGUAUUGGCUCUAUUUUCCUUCUCUCAUUCGAGACUUGCCUGCCCUGUUGCCAUCAUGAGAGUUCUGUUCUUCCGAGCUAUUGAAGAAUCCAAUUAGAGUAGUAAAUUUGAAUCGAUAGCAGGCAGUACUUAGGUCAUUUGUCUGGACUGUUGGGCCCUGCUGUAGGUCUGUUUUGUUUUAUAGCUGUUUAGGCUGUCUGUUUGUACAAUUUCAAGUGCAAAAUUCUGCACUGAUUGGCUCGCAGCAGCCUUGAUUACUAGUAGUUCAUGUUCUUAUAUGUGUUCUGUUUGGUUCU
This 1687-nucleotide long non-coding RNA is filed under the name Nicotiana benthamiana. Its description in RNAcentral is "long non-coding RNA (NBEN_LNC038220)". The stretch from base 217 to 287 matches the Rfam family "MIR6151 microRNA precursor family". The record is from RNAcentral. Lineage: Eukaryota; Viridiplantae; Streptophyta; Magnoliopsida; Solanales; Solanaceae.